Molecule: transfer RNA, 70 nt
Filed under: Ophiocten ludwigi
Lineage: Eukaryota; Metazoa; Echinodermata; Ophiuroidea; Amphilepidida; Ophiuridae
Description: tRNA-Cys
Source: RNAcentral
GGUUUUAUAGUGUAUAUUUAGCACCUUAGAUUGCAAAUCUAAAAGAGGACUAACAUUGAUCCUAAAACUU